GGUGCAACAUUGCCUGCAGUUACUAAUGAUGGGGCCGCUGCAAGGGCAGCAUUAGCAGCUGCAAUGAACUUGCAACACAACCUAGCCAAGAUUCAAGCUAGCGCAAUACCUGAACACUAUGAAGCAGAAUUGGAAAUUAACGAUUUCCCACAGAAUGCUCGAUGGAAGGUAACCCAUAAGGAGACCUUAGGCCCAAUUUCGGAGUGGACUGGAGCUGCUAUUACUACUAGGGGACAGUUCUUUCCACCUGGCAAAAUUGCUGGACCUGGAG
RNAcentral lists this unclassified non-coding RNA (271 nucleotides) under Hevea brasiliensis (rubber tree). Lineage: Eukaryota; Viridiplantae; Streptophyta; Magnoliopsida; Malpighiales; Euphorbiaceae. The record is from RNAcentral.